RNAcentral lists this small nuclear RNA (18 nucleotides) under Arabidopsis thaliana (thale cress). RNAcentral describes it as "snRNA_11504". Lineage: Eukaryota; Viridiplantae; Streptophyta; Magnoliopsida; Brassicales; Brassicaceae. The record is from RNAcentral.
AGUGCAAAUAUUAAAGCG